Molecule: long non-coding RNA, 1295 nt
Filed under: Felis catus (domestic cat)
Lineage: Eukaryota; Metazoa; Chordata; Mammalia; Carnivora; Felidae
Description: lncRNA (ENSFCAG00000042511.2)
Source: RNAcentral
UGUCACGAUCUCACGGUUGUGACCCUGAGCCCCAUGUCGGGCUUUGGGCUGAGCGUGGAGCCUUCUUAAAAUUCUCUCUUUCUCUCCCUUGUUCGCAUGCUCUCACUCUCUGAAAGGAAGACAAGAAAAAAGACAAGAGAAGAAAAGCAGAGUAAUGGAAGGAGGAGGACUGGCCUGGGGAGUGGAGACACCUGGCUUCUCUCUCCAACUCCACCUGUAGCUUGUUCACAGCCCCUCGGUGUCGCUAAGCAGCCUCACUCUGUAAGAGGCAAACAACCCCAUCUCACCUCCUCCAGCUGACACAAGACCAAGUGAGAGGCGUGAUGAGACCUGUUCUUCCAAGGACCAGGGGGCAGAAUCAAGAUGGGUGGAAGUUACAAGGAGGCAGAUUUCAGAUCACCAUCAGGAAGACAUUUCCAUUUACCGAAGUCCUUUCUACAGAUUCCUAAUCACCCAGAAAGCCUUCUCCCCUGGGAACUAGUCGAGCAGCAGACUGGUCAUCUGGCAGUGAUCCCGCACGAGAGGGACUGAACCCUGAGCCAUAAGGCCCCUUUGAAAUGGGACAGUCUGCAUGUUGGUUUAUGUGGAAGGGCUUUGGGAAGAAUGAAUGUGAGGCUAAGCGCUCAGGGGCUCGGACUUCUGGCUACCUUGGUCACUGCAGCAGGAGGAGAAAAAGCUGGAAGGGGGGUCAAGCACCCACCCAGAAGUGAAUCCCGGCACUUCUGGCAUCUCACCGAACAGAAUUAGUCACGUGGCCCUGCCUAACCUCAAGGAGGUGCAUGCAGGAAGCAUAUGCAGAAAGGAGAGAAAAAUGGAUAGAGUCUGACAUUAUGAGACUACUCUGCAAAACCUUCACACUGAGCUUUGUCUCGAAGAUAGCCUUCGGAGCAGUAAUCAGGCCUCCAUUAACUACAGCAGGAAGGGGGACAGCUGUGGAACUAAAGGCAUGCAUCUGGGGAUCCAGGAAGCAUUGGGGAACCCACCAGCACCUGGUAAAGCUUGGGACCCGGGCCAGGUCCAGAGCUGGUGACCUGGGUGAGGUGCAUGCACAUGUAUGGAUGAACACAUAGGAUUCUGGGCAGCUCAGUGGAAGCACAGAGGUGAGGAGAGACCCUUUGCUCCUGACUGCCUCUCCAUGCCUCAAGGGUUCCCAACUGUACCCUGCUUUAGAAUAGGUCAGACUGCUAGAGGAUACUGUUUUUCUGGCCCGCCCAGCACCUAUUCCCCCCCACUUCUGGUAACAGCACCCUGAUUUUCUGCUGGGGAGCCACUCUUCCUCUACUGUCCAUGCUGGU